AAUCCUUAAAGCCUGUCUCAGUUCGGACUGGGGUCUGCAACCCGACCCCACGAAGCUGGAUUCGCUAGUAAUCGCGCAUCAGCCAUGGCGCGGUGAAUACGUUCCCGGGCCUUGUACACACCGCCCGUCAAGCCAUGAAAGCCGGGGGCGCCUAAAGUCCGUGACCGUAAGGAGCGGCCUAGGGCGAAACUGGUAAUUGGGGCUAAGUCGUAACAAGGUAGCCGUACCGGAAGGUGCGGCUGGAACACCUCCUUU
RNAcentral lists this ribosomal RNA (255 nucleotides) under Segatella copri. RNAcentral describes it as "partial 16S ribosomal RNA". It matches the Rfam family "Bacterial small subunit ribosomal RNA", at positions 1270 to 1533 of the family's 1533-position model. The record is from RNAcentral. Lineage: Bacteria; Pseudomonadati; Bacteroidota; Bacteroidia; Bacteroidales; Prevotellaceae.